Molecule: long non-coding RNA, 1417 nt
Filed under: Betta splendens (Siamese fighting fish)
Lineage: Eukaryota; Metazoa; Chordata; Actinopteri; Anabantiformes; Osphronemidae
Description: lncRNA (ENSBSLG00000015676.1)
Source: RNAcentral
GUUUAAACUAGUGUUUCUACAGCCUGAAAAGCUCAAAAACGAUGUUUUAGUGUUUCUGCAUUGGUUUUCAUCACAGCAACCUCUAAUGGUCAUGUUCUGAUGCCAGAAUACUGUCAAACAGCUCAAUACAUCCUAAAUGUACAGUUGCAUAUGCGGUGGUUUAAACUAGUGUUCUUAUGACCUGAAAAGCUCAAAAACGAUGUUUUAGUGUUUCUGCAUUGUUUUUUUAACAUUACAGUUCAUAAUGGUCAUGUUCUCAUGCCAGGCUACUUUCAAACAGCUCAAUACAUCCUAAAUGUACAGUUGCAAUUGCCGUGGUUUAAACUAGUUUUUCUACAGCCUGAAAAGCUCAAAAACGAUGUUUUAGUGUUUCUGCAUUGGUUUCCAUCAGAGCAGCCUCUAAUGGUCAUGUUCUGAUGCCAGAAUACUGUCAAACAGCUCAAUGCAUCCUAAAUGUACAGCUGCAUAUGUCUUGGUUUAAACUAGUGUUCUUAUGACCUGAAAAGCUCAAAAACGAGGCCUUUGUGUUUCUGCACUGUUUUGUUAAACCUUACAGUUUAUAAUGGUCAUGUUCUCAUGCCAGGCUACUUUAAAACAGCUCAAUACAUCCUAAAAGCAGAGUUGCAAUUGCCGUGGUUUAAACUAGUGUUUCUACAGCCUGAAAAGCUCAAAAACGAUGUUUUAGUGUUUCUGCAUUGGUUUUCAUCAGAGCAGCCUCUAAUGGUCAUGUUCUGAUGCCAGAAUACUUUCCAACAGCUCAAUACAUCCUAAAGGUGCAGCUGCAUAGGCGGUGGUUUAAACUAGUGUUCUUAUGACCUGAAAAGCUCCAAAACAAUGUUUUAGUGUUUCUGCAUUGUUUUUUUAACAUUACAGUUUAUAAUAGUCAUGUUCUCAUGCCAGGCUACUUUCAAACAGCUCAAUACAUCCUAAAUGUACAGUUGUAAUAGCCGUGGUUUAAACUAGUUUUUCUACAGCCUGAAAAGCUCAAAAACGAUGUUUUAGUGUUUCUGCAUUGAUUUCCAUCAGAGCAGCCUCUAAUGGUCAUGUUCUGAUGCCAGAUCACUGUCAAACAGCUCAAUGCAUCCUAAAUGUACAGCUGUAUAUGUCUUGGUUUAAACUAGUGUUCUUAUGACCUGAAGAGCUCAAAAACGAGGUCUUUGUGUUUCUGCACUGUUUUGUUAAACCUUACAGUUUAUAAUGGUCAUGUUCUCAUGCCAGGCUACUUUAAAACAGCUCAAUACAUCCUAAAAGCAGAGUUGCAAUUGCCGUGGUUUAAACUAGUGUUUCUACAGCCUGACAAGCUCAAAAACGAUGUUUUAGUGUUUCUGCAUUGGUUUUCAUCAGAGCAGCCUCUAAUGGUCAUGUUCUGAUUCCAGAAUACUGUAAAACAGCUCAAUACAUCCUAAAAGCAGAGUUG